RNAcentral lists this ribosomal RNA (429 nucleotides) under uncultured Sphingobacteriales bacterium. RNAcentral's name for it is "bacterial SSU rRNA". It matches the Rfam family "Bacterial small subunit ribosomal RNA", at positions 952 to 1382 of the family's 1533-position model. Lineage: Bacteria; Pseudomonadati; Bacteroidota; Sphingobacteriia; Sphingobacteriales. The record is from RNAcentral.
CGAUGAUACGCGAGGAACCUUACCUGGGCUCGAACGUAAGAUGACUGUAGGUGAAAGCUUACAUCUCUUCGGAGCAUUUUACGAGGUGCUGCAUGGUUGUCGUCAGCUCGUGCCGUGAGGUGUCGGGUUAAGUCCCAUAACGAGCGCAACCCUACCUUUAGUUGCCAUCAGGUAAUGCUGGGGACUCUAAAGGAACUGCCUACGCAAGUAGUGAGGAAGGCGGGGAUGACGUCAAAUCAGCACGGCCCUUACGUCCAGGGCUACACACGUGCUACAAUGGCCGAUACAGAGGGCAGCUACCUGGUGACAGGAUGCAAAUCUCCAAAGUCGGUCUCAGUUCGGAUCGGAGUCUGCAACCCGACUCCGUGAAGUUGGAUUCGCUAGUAAUCGCGCAUCAGCCAUGGCGCGGUGAAUACGUUCCCGGGCCUU